RNAcentral lists this ribosomal RNA (274 nucleotides) under uncultured bacterium. Its description in RNAcentral is "partial 16S ribosomal RNA". It matches the Rfam family "Bacterial small subunit ribosomal RNA", at positions 523 to 796 of the family's 1533-position model. The record is from RNAcentral.
CUACGGAGGGUGCAAGCGUUAAUCGGAAUUACUGGGCGUAAAGCGCGCGUAGGCGGUUUGAUCAGUCGGAUGUGAAAGCCCUGGGCUCAACCUGGGAUCUGCAUUCGAUACUGUCAGACUAGAAUAUGGUAGAGGGUAGUGGAAUUCCUGGUGUAGCAGUGAAAUGCGUAGAUAUCAGGAGGAACAUCAGUGCCGAAGGCGGCUACCUGGACCAAUAUUGACGCUGAGGUGCGAAAGCGUGGGGAGCAAACAGGAUUAGAAACCCUAGUAGUCC